AAAAUUGCUUAAACUACCAUUUUCCUAAUAUAUGUUUUGAUGUUUACUUUAACCAAAUUUAUCCUUAGUUUUAAAGAGAUAAGGGAAAAUUACAUGUUUACCACUUUCAUAGUACCACUUUUCAUUUUUACCACUAAUGAGACAUUUUCAAAAAUACCUUCUUCAUUAAGUGGCAAAAGACUUUUAUGCCAUUGUUAUUUAUAUAUAUAAUAAAUUAUUAUUUAAAUAAAAAAAUAAAAAAAAAUAAUAAUAAAAAAACUAAAAAUUAAAAAAUUAAAAAAUUAAAAAAAUGUAAAUUUCUUUUUUAUGUUUUUGAAUUAUACUUUUUCAAAUUCGAACUUUUUGAUAAAUAAAAUUUUUUGAAUUUUUUUUCAAAUUUUUUUUUUCAAAUUUCUUUUUGAAAAACGAAAAAUUAUGUUUGAAACUAUUUUUUAAGUAUUUAUAUAUUUAUUAGAAUAAUAAAUUUCACAUUCCAAAAACCCUAC
This 485-nucleotide long non-coding RNA is filed under the name Brassica rapa (field mustard). RNAcentral's name for it is "long non-coding RNA (BRAP_LNC003732)". Lineage: Eukaryota; Viridiplantae; Streptophyta; Magnoliopsida; Brassicales; Brassicaceae. The record is from RNAcentral.